This 497-nucleotide ribosomal RNA is filed under the name uncultured bacterium. RNAcentral's name for it is "partial 16S ribosomal RNA". It matches the Rfam family "Bacterial small subunit ribosomal RNA", at positions 28 to 507 of the family's 1533-position model. The record is from RNAcentral.
GAUGAACGCUGGCGGCGUGCCUAAUACAUGCAAGUCGAGCGAACGGACGAGAAGCUUGCUUCUCUGAUGUUAGCGGCGGACGGGUGAGUAACACGUGGAUAACCUACCUAUAAGACUGGGAUAACUUCGGGAAACCGUAGCUAAUACCGGAUAAUAUUUUGAACCGCAUGGUUCAAAAGUGAAAGACGGUCUUGCUGUCACUUAUAGAUGGAUCCCCGCUGCAUUAGCUAGUUGGUAAGGUAACGGCUUACCAAGGCAACGAUGCAUAGCCGACCUGAGAGGGUGAUCGGCCACACUGGAACUGAGACACGGUCCAGACUCCUACGGGAGGCAGCAGUAGGGAAUCUUCCGCAAUGGGCUAAAGCCUGACGGAGCAACGCCGCGUGAGUGAUGAAGGUCUUCGGAUCGUAAAACUCUGUUAUUAGGGAAGAACAUAUGUGUAAGUAACUGUGCACAUCUUGACGGUACCUAAUCAGAAAGCCACGGCUAACUACGUG